Molecule: non-coding RNA, 30 nt
Filed under: Rattus norvegicus (Norway rat)
Lineage: Eukaryota; Metazoa; Chordata; Mammalia; Rodentia; Muridae
Source: RNAcentral
UCAAAGAAGGUUGUCUUUGCAGUGGAUGGA